GAUGAACGCUGGCGGCGUGCCUAAUACAUGCAAGUCGAGCGAACGGACGAGAAGCUUGCUUUUCUGAUGUUAGCGGCGGACGGGUGAGUAACACGUGGAUAACCUACCUAUAAGACUGGGAUAACUUCGGGAAACCGGAGCUAAUACCGGAAAAUAUUUUGAACCGCAUGGUUCAAAAGUGAAAGACGGUCUUGCUGUCACUUAUAGAUGGAUCCGCGCUGCAUUAGCUAGUUGGUAAGGUAACGGCUUACCAAGGCAACGAUGCAUAGCCGACCUGAGAGGGUGAUCGGCCACACUGGAACUGAGACACGGUCCAGACUCCUACGGGAGGCAGCAGUAGGGAAUCUUCCGCAAUGGGCGAAAGCCUGACGGAGCAACGCCGCGUGAGUGAUGAAGGUCUUCGGAUCGUAAAACUCUGUUAUUAGGGAAGAACAUAUGUGUAAGUAACUGUGCACAUCUUGACGGUACCUAAUCAGAAAGCCACGGCUAACUACGUG
This 497-nucleotide ribosomal RNA is filed under the name uncultured bacterium. RNAcentral's name for it is "partial 16S ribosomal RNA". It matches the Rfam family "Bacterial small subunit ribosomal RNA", at positions 28 to 507 of the family's 1533-position model. The record is from RNAcentral.